Vitis vinifera (wine grape) is the source of this 3263-nucleotide long non-coding RNA. RefSeq lists it as uncharacterized. The transcript is spliced from 2 exons. NCBI's taxonomy places the organism in Eukaryota, Viridiplantae, Streptophyta, Magnoliopsida, Vitales, Vitaceae. The record is from RefSeq and is a predicted model, not a curated record.
CCUAUAGUACAACACAGAUUAGGCCCAUAACACUAAGCCCAACAAGCCCAAUGAACCCUGGUUUAUUUAUUUACCAUCAACAGCACACCAACUACCCUUAGCUUCAGACCCUUCCCAAACGCUGCCUGUCCCAAGCCGCCUUCUUCUCUCUUGCUUCCUGCCAGGCUACCACUGCUCCCACAUAGCUGAGAGAGAUGCUAUGAAUGGGAGCAAGCUUCCCUUUUUUAUAGACCUCAAGGGAAGUUCUUCAAUUGCGGUUUGGGAGUUGGAUGGCAACUAACAUUGGUGAACAUAGGCGGCAGUGGUGGUGCUGACUUCAAUCUUCCAGCGUUUCCGGCGAGGCGGUGGUGGUGGUGGAGAGGGCAUAGGGUGCUGUUCCUGUUAAAAUCUAAUCCAAGUGGAGUUGGCUAAUGGUAUUAUUUGUUGACAUUCCCAGUGAUUUACAGAGUGUUUUUGAUGGUUGGUGUCUUAAUUGAUUUUUCCUUGGAAAAGAAAUUGUCUGCUUUGCUGAGAGUUGAUGCCUUUGGAGCAUCUCUGGUCUCACCCGCUUUAGAGCCCUUCUUUUCUUUACCACCCCCAGCAGCAAAUGUCCUGCAGCCCAGCACCCUGACUGCCUCCCCUGUGAUGAUGAAACUUCUCAUUGAUUUUAUGCAGUUCAUUGCCAUGUCUUUUCCCUGCAAAAAUAUUUUACAAAAUCAUCAAUAGUUCAAGGUUCAAUUUCAACGUAACAUGCUUCCUUUAAUACCCCAUAUCCACCACUUUGUAAUACGCCACUGCUAUACUCUACAAUGCGGCAAUAGACUACAAAUCCCUUUAAUGAGUUGGGCAAAGCAGUAGGGACUCAAGCAGUAGUCUCUCUACCAGUGCAUCACCAUUCCAACAACACAACCAAUUGUGGUCUUCAAAUCUAGCAUAUCUUGCAAUGUUCAUCUAUCGCAUCCUUCCCUAGAGGCAGAUUUGUCUGUCCCUUAAAUCUAUUAGGGUUGGUGAUUGUGCACAGCUGCAGCGAAUUUCAGAGGAGAUGUUUCACCACAAUAAUAAUGCUCUUGAAGAUUUGAACAUCUUGGGGUAUCCCAAUCUCAGAAUCAUACCAGAUUGCCUCUACAACCUCAAAGAUCUUCAGAUCGGAAAAUGUGAGAAUCUGGAGCUGCAGCCUCAUCAAUUGCAAGGCCUCACUUAUCUUACUUCACUCAAGAUCACUAAUUGUGAGAAUAUCAAGAUGCCCUUAUCAGAAUGGGGCCUUGCCAGGUCGACCUCUCUUAAAACUCUCACCAUUUCUGAUUAUCACCACCACCACUCAUUGCUUCUUCCUACUACUCUAGCUGAGCUUUUCAUUUCAAGCUUCAAGAAUCUGUAAUCCUUGGCUUUCCUGUCUCUCCAAAGGCUCACCUCUCUUAAAAGGCUAUGCAUCUCCAGUUGUCCUAAUCUCCAGGGCUGUUUAACAUGCUUUCAGAACUAUUUAUAACAUAUUGACCACUCCUAAUUCAAAGGUGCUCAAAAGAGAAACGGGAAGAUUGGCCCAAGAUUGCCCACAUCCCCUAUGUGAAAAUAGAUGACAGAUUGAUCCUUUAGCAAUAAGGAGUUGAGAUUGCAGCAAAAUGUACGCAGAGACCAUUCCACUAUAUAUAUAUAUAUAUAUAUAUAUAUAUAUAUAUAUAUAUGCUUGGUAUUUUUUCUUCAGUGUGCCACAAUUCCUUUUUGUGCACAUUGGAUGUGAAGGAGAAAAUAAUGCAAAUGGAAUCCAAUUCUCUAACCAGAGGUUCAGCCAAUCAAAUUGAGUAUACUCUAUUUCAUUCAUAUCUUUUUUGACUUUAUGCAUUUCAAUUGCGUUGUCCUCAAGAAGCAUUCUUUUCUCAUAUAUCUCUAUAUAAAGUUCCGCAUUUUUUUUCCUUACGUGUUCAUAGAUAUGCAUUUAUCAACUUAGGCCAUGUUCUUAAUGCUUUUAAACCUAUGAUUUCACAUUUUCCCAUCACAGGAUUGGACCAUAUCUUUAUAAUUUUCCAUUAAUCAUCAUCUUUGUUCAACUCAAAGGUUUUUCAAGUGAGUAAUAAAGACUACAAAUGGUUAGAUAUCACUUUUUUCUUUGUCCUCUUGAUUGCCAUGCUUCUCUAUUUGGAAUUGGAUUCUUCUGUUUGUAACUUAUUUUUCGUUACAUUUUUAAUUGCAUUCCUUCUUACAAUAAUUCAGGAUUGACCUUUUCUCAAAAAUAAUUGUUCUUCUUCUUAGUCUCCUCUUCAGUUAAUGUAAGCAUCAAAUUUCUAUCUCUUUGUUAUAUAUGUCUUCCUUUUUCUCAUUACAUAUACAUGAGGAAGAUUUUUUGACUUCCAUUAUAAGUUUUCAAUAACUAUGUUUGCAUUUCUUUUUAUUUCAAGGAGAUUCAGGGGUGAAAAUUCUUUUGCAUUUGUCUUGACAUUUGGCGCUUAAAACUCUACAAUGGUGUUUGGUGUUGAAAAAGGGGUACUUCAUUGCAGAAUAAUGAAAGUGUAAAUAGUUCUUUACCAUCAAAAAAGGCUUCAUGGUUGUUAAGAUCCAUCUAAUUCCUUGUCCUUUUCUUGACAUGUUGUUCAAUUUGUGGAAGAUGUGGGAGGAGAGCUUGAAUCAAAUUAAGCCAACUCCUUGCAAAAGACGAAUUCUUGCUAAGAAACCUCACCACUCGCAAGUUCUUUCUUAUCCAAGAAUUCUACAGCAGACCUCUCUGUCUUGCUUGAGUUCAAGCAGAGCUUUCUGAUUGGUCAGCAUGCUUCUGAUGAUCCUUCUGCUUAUCCGAAAGUUGCAGCUUGGAAAUCUGAAGGAGAUGGUAGUGACUGCUGCUCAUGGGAUGUCUUAAGAGUGUGACAAGGACACUGGCCAUGUGAUCCGCCUUAACCUUGGCAGCAGCUGUCCCUAUGGUUCUAUCAACUUCAGCAGCGCCUUCUUCCACCUUGUGCAUCUUCAAGGGCAUGAUCUCUCUAAUAAUGAUUUCAAUUACUCUAUGAUCCCAUCAGGAGUUGUCCAGCUUUUGAGUCUUAAGAAGUCUAAAUGACACCUCUCCUGGAUUCUCCGGCCAAAUCCCAUUGGAUUUCUUUGCACUGUCCAAACUGAUUGUCCUUGAUCUCUCACAAAAUCCAUUGAAGCACCAGUAACCUGACCUUGCUUCAGAUUCAGGGGUGAGAAGCAUUUCCUCCUUGUAAUACAAAAUGCUUUUGGGAAGCUGGUUGUAGCAUUCCUGGUGAAUGGUGUUUUGCUCUGUCAACUUGGUACACUUUCAGACUUGUUCUCUUGCA